Molecule: ribosomal RNA, 435 nt
Filed under: uncultured bacterium
Lineage: Bacteria
Description: bacterial SSU rRNA
Rfam family: Bacterial small subunit ribosomal RNA
Source: RNAcentral
AUGAACGCUGGCGGUAUGUUUAACACAUGCAAGUCGAACGGAACCCCUUGGGGUUUAGUGGCGGACGGGUGAGUAACGCGUGAGAAUCGGCCCUCAGGUUGGGGACAACCAUUGGAAACGGUGGCUAAUACCGAAUAAGCCGAAAGGUGAAAGAUUAAUUGCCUGGGGAAGAGCUCGCGUCUGAUUAGCUAGUUGGUGGGGUAAAGGCCUACCAAGGCACCGAUCAGUAACUGGUCUGAGAGGAUGGCCAGUCACACUGGGACUGAGACACGGCCCAGACUCCUACGGGAGGCAGCAGUGGGGAAUUUUCCGCAAUGGGCGAAAGCCUGACGGAGCAAUACCGCGUGGGGGAGGAAGGCUCUUGGGUCGUAAACCUCUUUUCUCAGGGAAGAAAUAAAUGACGGUACCUGAGGAAUCAGCAUCGGCUAACUCCGU